Molecule: ribosomal RNA, 189 nt
Filed under: uncultured bacterium
Lineage: Bacteria
Description: partial 16S ribosomal RNA
Rfam family: Bacterial small subunit ribosomal RNA
Source: RNAcentral
GCCUACAUGAAGCUGGAGUUGCCAGUAAUCGCGAAUCAGCAUGUCGCGGUGAAUACGUUCCCGGGCCUUGUACACACCGCCCGUCACACCAUGAGAGUUGGCAAUACCCAACGUACGUGAUCUAACCCGCAAGGGAGGAAGCGUCCUAAGGUAGGGUCAGCGAUUGGGGUGAAGUCGUAACAAGGUAAC